RNAcentral lists this long non-coding RNA (4975 nucleotides) under Sus scrofa (pig). Its description in RNAcentral is "lncRNA (ENSSSCG00000056533.1)". Lineage: Eukaryota; Metazoa; Chordata; Mammalia; Artiodactyla; Suidae. The record is from RNAcentral.
CAUCUUCUGUAUUAGUCUGCUCAGGUUGCAAUAGCAGAAUACAAUGGACAGUAUGCCUUAAGAAAUGGAAAUUUAUUUUCUCAUAGGUCUGAAGAUGGGAAGUGCAAGUUUACAGGACAUCUAGCUAUAUGUCCUUGCCUGACCUUUCCUGGGUGCCUUUGUGGAGAGAGAGACAGAGAGAGCAGGAUCUUUCUUUUUCUUCUUUAUAAAGUCACCAAUGAUGUCUUAUUAGGAUCCUACCCUCAUGACAACAUUUAAUUUUAAUUACUUUCUAAAAGUCAUGUCUCUAAAUAUAGUCACAUGGAGGGUUGGGGCUUCAACACAUGAAAUUAGGGGUGUGUGGGAGUAAACACAAUUCAGUCCAUAGCCCCAUUUCAGAAUUCUGGACCUUUGGUUAUAGGGGAAGUUGAGAGCAGAGGCUACUACAAGGCUAAUUUCAUUCUCUGGUGUCUCUUAGUAUAAGGAUACCAGUCCUAUUAGAGCAGGGUCUUACACUUAUGACCUCAUUUUUUUCAGUUUCUUCCUUUAAGAUAUUACCUACAAAUGCAGCCACACUGGAGGAUAAGGGCUUUGACCUAUACAUGUUUUGGAGGGGAGGCACUAAUAUUCAAUCUCUUUCAUCUUUCCACCUUGAAUUUUCUCCUCGCACCAUCUUCCAUGUCUCAGUAAACGAAAGCAUCAUUAUUAAUUAACUCCAGUCCACCAGUCAUGUUAUUGGCUGUAUCCUCAAUAUCUGUGAUGAGUUGGAUCAUGUUUCACUUUCUCCACACUUGCCUCUCUAACCAGGCCUAUUGCAAAAGACUCCUAACAGGUCUCUCUGCUUCCACUCAUGUUUCUCUACAAUCUCUUCUCCAUAAACAUACAUCGGAUUAUUUCACUCUCCUGCUCAAAGUCUUUCCAUACCUUUCAUAUCACUUAAUAUGAAAUCCACCAUUCCUGCCUUCGCUAUGAGGUCUAACAUGAUGCAUGAGGCUACAAACCUCCACCUCUCUCCUACUGCGUGGAUUGUGUUAUGAUACCUCAGUUACCUUCACCUUCUUACCAGGGCUCAUGCUUCUCCUUCUCCACUUUUACAUCUGCUCUUUUCUCUGUCUGGAAUGUUCUUUCCCUGGCUCCGUGCAUAGCUUGAUGCCUUCAUUAAGACCUGCGUACAAAGUGUCUGCUGCUCUUUCCAUGUCCUCCAUUAACCUUUUAAUUCCUCAGUGCUAAGUACCACUUUGGAAAAUCUGUUCUUACUUCCCAUAUUGCUAAAUCUAACAAAGACGUUUCAGCUUGUGUAUAAUUAAUGCUGCAGCACUUGACUCUUGGACACUCUUUCAUGCACUAUUCCUCUUUGUCUUUCAUUACACCAUUUUCUGAGUUAUUGAUUUAUUCAGGCAUCUUGGAGGCAUUGGGUAUGCAACAUGCGUGUCAUGAAUCUGACAUUCUACUGAGGGCAAAGGUAAUGAAUAAACAAGUGAAUGUACAGCAGGUCACAUCUAUAGGACAGGCCUUUUCUGACUACUUUGUAUAAGUAAUAGUUCUCCUUUUACUUUCUACUCCUUGGUUCUGUACUUAUUACCACAUUGCAUGCACUAGAAUGUAAACUCUCUGAUGACAGGAGGUUGAGAACUUUUUUUUAGCCCAUCUUUGCCAUGACUCCUGUUUUCAAAAUACUGCUUGGCUUGUGGUCUUAGUAGUCCAAUAAAUAUUUGCUGAGUUCCUAAGUCAUUGUAUUAUUAAGCAAAAAAGAAUACCACUGUUUGAUGCCUUCCAUUUUGGUGUGACUUCAAGUCAUUUUAUUUUCUUUAUUUUUGAUGCGGAUGAUUCACUUAUCCACAGUUUUUAGAAAGUGUGUAUAGCAUCCACAUAGUCCUGAAGGAAGCUGGGUGCAGUGUACACCUUUACAAUAAAAUUUCAAAGAGAAGACAGUUAUGGGUCACUCUGCUGCUUGUCCCCAGGGAGAGGUUUAUAAUGCAAAAGGUAGAGAAGAAAACUGUGAACUAUUUUUCUCUUGAUUUAAAUGAGAGGAUCAGUGUGCCUGAACAACCUUGCCUAUAUCGGUGGUUCAGUGGGGAAGAAGUCAAGGCAAGUCCACAUCCAGUUGAUCACCUCCUUUAUAUAAUUUCUAGAAAUAAUUUCAAUAGCCCUGGCUGUGCCAUCAUUUUUGCUGUUCCUCAGGUAUGUUUUGGUCAGUUGUGGGAAACAAAACUAAUUCUUCAAGCUCCAAAAUUUACUGGCAAAAUCUCAGUGAUGCUGAGGAGCUUAUAACAUUCUAGAAAAGCACCACAGUGUAGAGUGAGUGUGGAAAAUCCAAGUGAGAAAAUGAAUGCAUUUUUAUUGUUUUUACUGUUAGAAACACAUCACACUUAAUGAAUUGUGGUGUGCAAAUGUUCCCUUUUGAAUCCAUAAUAAAACCCUGUUUCGGAAUGUAAGACACAUACAUAUACAUAGACGCACACACACACACAUAUUUAGAAAUACAGCAUCUUGAGGAUCAAGUGUUGAAAAUUGCACUUUUGUUGAUUACAAUAGAAUGGUAGACUCAAGCUUCUAUUUGAUACUUGAGUUGUGUCCUUCUGUUUGGAAGUGGGAAAUGAAACUUGCUGUCUUUGCAUUGAUGGAAGCAGCAAGCUCACUUAUUACAGAGGCGUCCAGUCCUUGGCAGCGUAUCUCACCCAGUCCACCUCCCACAUUUGGCAUUAAGUAUUCCCCAGUGAGAAGUCUUCUCUCUAUGCCAAGUUUGAGAAGUUCUCUACUUCCUCCUCUAACAUCCCUGCCAUCCAAAGAAUCCUGCUAAAGUGGUGGCCCUUCGGCCGUAUGAUUUGUGGCAAGAACUUUGAAGACAAAACCCAUUGUUUUUUCUUUUUGCUUCUUAGGGCUGCACCUGUGGCAUGUCAAGGUUCCCAGGCCAGAAGGUGAAUCAGAGCUACAGCUGCUGGCCUACACCACUGCCACAGCAAGGCAGGAUCCAAGCCACAUUUGCAACCUAUACCACAGCUCACGGCAGCUCUGGAUCAUUAAUCCACUGAGCAAGGCCAGGAAUUGAGCCUGGAUCCUCACGGAUUCUAGUUGGAUUCGUUACCACUGAGUCACAACAGGAACUCCUCAAAAUCCAUUUUUUAAGCAAUCUAAAUUUUACUUCAUCCUUAUUGUCACCUUUCUCGGUGGGGAGGUGGCUGGUGGUGGUCAUGAGAGUGGGAAAUCCCUGACUUGACAAGAUGUGGUAGGCAGUAUUCUGGAUCAUCCUCAAGAUUCGUACCCCUCAGUGGUACCCAAUCUUGUGUACUUCCUUCCCCAUGGGGAUAAGAGGAGCCUACAAUUCGCUUCUAACUAACAGAAUAUGGCAAAAGUGAAGAGGAUUUUCUUAGAUGUGAUUAAGGUCCCCAAUCUUUUGACUUGGAUUUAAUCAAAAGGGAGGUUAUUCUGAGUGUCCUGGACCUAAUCUGGCAAGUCCUCCUCUGAAGUUAGAGACUUCAGACUCUAAAGUCUGACUCUGAAAAAACAAAAUACCUUGAAUGCUAAAGCAGAAAGGAAAUGAAUUAUGCUAAUGAACUGAGGGAGCUUAGAAGUGAAUCUUUUUCUAAUCCAGCCUCUGGAGAAGAACACCACUCAGCCAACAUCUUGGUUUCAUUUCUGUGAGCUCCUGAGCAGUAGCACCCAAGUAAAAUGGGUCUAGACUCCUGGCCUAUAGAACCUGUGAAAUAAUAGACAUGUCGGUUAAACUGUUAAAUUUGUAGUAACAUAUUACACAGCAUAGAAAACUGUUGCACAAGGUAUAGGAAGUUGAAAAUGGUCCCUGAGCAAAGACAAGGAUUUGAGGCAUUAGACCUGCUCUUUGCUAUCCCUGCAAAAGGGAAUAAUGAAUACUGAUGAAAUUCCAGCUUUAGAGUUCUUGAUAAGCUGAAGCUCUAGAUGGAGUCUUAAACAUGUCUAUUUAUUUGGCUCAUAAUAUCAUCUUUUAUAAAUCUCACAUUUUCACCCCCAUCUUCUAAACCUAUGUUAUUAUUUUCCUCUGUAUACUCAAUAGACUGCGCAAUUCAUGUGUUUGUCAAGUGAAAAAAAAUGCACCUUCAUCUGGAUAAAAACCAAAAAAAAAAUCAGUGAUUUGGAGCACUUCAAAUACACAGAUAUUUAGUGUUGAAUAAACUAAUAUUCUGGAUGGUUGACUGAUGUGAAUUUUCUUUCAUUUGGAUAUUUUGGGACCAUGCAGAUAUACAACCUGAAGCUGUAGAUAAUGAUUAAAAGCCAGAUUUGUUUGUUAGUAAUGACAAUAUAUAAUUUGAUAACAUGAAUUAGAGUCUUUCAGAGCCUGUGCCUAUGUGUAUUUGAUAAAGUGUUUCUACUUUUCCACUAUACCAGAGUUUCAUAUACACUCAAGGUGAGUUAUAAUAAUACAGCCUUCCAGAUAAUUAAAUUUACAUUUCUAGUUCACUUCCCAUAAGUGGAAUUUUUUAUUUUGUUUUCUCUUGUUCAUUGCACCCAGUUCAUUCUUAAAUGCCCAGUCUCACCGGCAAUGAUUUGUGGCAAUAGAAGAAUACCACACUUGAAAAUAGGAAAGAGAGAGGGAUUCAAUGUGGCAGAAUAGAGACAUUCUUGUUGGGUCUAUCUUGGAGAAUUCUAAUUCGGCAGGAUAGACAGUGACACGGAGUCUGCCAUUCUGAAAUACAACUAUGUAUAAACAUGUGUAACUGAUGAUUUUAUUGUACCACCACAUUACUGGUCACCAAGAAUCCUUCACAGAUAGCCACACAAAAUUGGUGCCUUCAAGUUUUUUCAGUGAAGUGGGUGAGAGAUUGUUAUUUCACAAAUAAUUCUAAUUUAGUUAUGCAGACUGCUACCUUUGGAAUGGAUUAGCAAUGAGAGCCUGCUGUGUAGCACUGGGAACUAUGUCUAGUCACUUAUGACGGAGCAUGAUAAUGUGAGAAAAAAGAAUGUAUACAUGUAUGUGUAACUGGGUCACCAUGCUGUAUAGUAGAAAAAAAAAUAAUGUAUU